AAGAGCCGACGAGGUGGCCCGGUGGUGCCGGGACGCGCGCUGAACGCCGCGUCGGGGCGGUGAGCGCCUGUCGGGUAGAAUGUUCUCAUCUUCCGAUCCGUGCUCCUCGAGCCUGUGCAGCCCCACAGGUUGCAGGGCCCGGUCCCCCGGUCCCCGUGGGCGCCCACGCAGGUGGCGCCUUCCCGGCCAGUGGCCAUGCGCUGGAAUUUGAGAAGGAGGCCCAGUGGAGAACGUUGAACCCGGGUAUAGACACCGUUGGGGUUCCCUCUGCUUGAUCCAAAUGAGAUGGGGCUGCUCUGCUUUCUGCCCCGAGGCUCUUCUGACUUUGCCUACCCGAGGCCAGCAGUAGCUCUCUCAGCUCACGCCAUGCACAGCUUUGAAGUGUUGAUUGAUAAUUCACUCGGACCUGUGUUAUGACGAAUUUCCCAGAGGUGCAAGGUGGUCCCUUUGUC
Molecule: long non-coding RNA, 452 nt
Organism: Eubalaena glacialis (North Atlantic right whale)
Lineage: Eukaryota; Metazoa; Chordata; Mammalia; Artiodactyla; Balaenidae
Exons: 3
Source: RefSeq, a predicted model, not a curated record